RNAcentral lists this ribosomal RNA (253 nucleotides) under uncultured bacterium. Its description in RNAcentral is "partial 16S ribosomal RNA". It matches the Rfam family "Bacterial small subunit ribosomal RNA", at positions 524 to 776 of the family's 1533-position model. The record is from RNAcentral.
UACGUAGGGGGCUAGCGUUGUCCGGAAUCAUUGGGCGUAAAGAGCGUGUAGGCGGUCCGGUAAGUCCGUUGUGAAAGUCCAGGGCUCAACCCUGGGAUGCCGGUGGAUACUGUCGGGCUCGAGUCCGGAAGAGGAGUGUGGAAUUCCUGGUGUAGCGGUGAAAUGCGCAGAUAUCAGGAGGAACACCAAUGGCGAAGGCAGCACUCUGGGACGUGACUGACGCUGAGACGCGAAAGCGUGGGGAGCAAACAGG